UUGAAAUAAAUACGUAUAACCAAUUUAUUAUUAUUAGUUAGAUACAAAUUUGUAAUUGAUGUAAAUUUACAUAGAUGAGGUUCUGUUUCUCCUCGGUUCUGUACCCUUUACUUAGGGGGCUGAUCCUGGACAUUUUAAAGAGAGAUCAAAUACCUUUUUUCUUUUUUUAUUACUGGUCGAAAGGGAUGGCUUCCUCCAAAAUAUAGCGCAGCAGAUGGGGUUAAUGUAUUCAUAGGCCUUUACUAAAAGCAAUUUAGAUUUUAUUUUACAUACAUUUUAAAUAAGCGAACUUCGUUUCUGCGAAUACGCUGUUCGUUUCUCGGAGUAGGUUGUUCGUUUCUGCGAAUACGCUGUCCGUUUCUGCGCGUAGGUUGUUCGUUUCUGUGAGUAGGUUGUUCGUUUGUAACUGUAAAUUUGGCGGCGAUUGCCUUCCAUAGACAAGGACACAAGUGAAAUGCACGGUAAAACCCGUAAACGUAAUGAAACAACAGGAGCAUUAAUUCACACCAUUUUGGUCUACUUACCACUUUUUGAUCGGUUGUCGUUAAUGUAGUUUGAGCAAUGCCCUUUCCCCAGACUCAUCACACGAGCCUGGCCUCCUGUACGAACUCGAGUGACCAAGCUUCCCACAUUACGCAGUACACACGAAUACAUGCUUUUGGUACAGUUUCAGUGCUAACAAAAUUACGGUAAUAAAUACAGUCCGCCUUCUUUUCGAACAACACUAAGCCCAAAUCAGUUUAUCGCCUAUCUACAGGCCUAGGCCCACUUCUCGAACUUCUAUCUUCACGAAACCGCGGCAUACAGAGCCCACUACAGUUUAAUAGCAGUAAGUAUGGCAUGUAAGUAUGACACUCUAGUCUUUGGGAUGGUCCUCGGUGGAUAUCCUUUCAUUAUCUUGUAUACAUUGGUGGCGUGAUUGCGCUCUGUAUGGUGACGUAUUUGCAUUUGAUUGUUUAUGCCCCACAAAAAAAAA
Long non-coding RNA from Anneissia japonica, 976 nucleotides. RefSeq lists it as uncharacterized. The record is from RefSeq and is a predicted model, not a curated record. The transcript is spliced from 2 exons. NCBI's taxonomy places the organism in Eukaryota, Metazoa, Echinodermata, Crinoidea, Comatulida, Comatulidae.